RNAcentral lists this non-coding RNA (31 nucleotides) under Mus musculus (house mouse). Lineage: Eukaryota; Metazoa; Chordata; Mammalia; Rodentia; Muridae. The record is from RNAcentral.
GUGGUUCAAUAUGAAGUCAAGGGUAUCUAGG